This 490-nucleotide ribosomal RNA is filed under the name uncultured bacterium. RNAcentral's name for it is "partial 16S ribosomal RNA". It matches the Rfam family "Bacterial small subunit ribosomal RNA", at positions 30 to 507 of the family's 1533-position model. The record is from RNAcentral.
AUUGAACGCUGGCGGCAGGCCUAACACAUGCAAGUCGAACGGUAACAGGAAACAGCUUGCUGUUUCGCUGACGAGUGGCGGACGGGUGAGUAAUGUCUGGGAAAUUGCCUGAUGGAGGGGGAUAACUACUGGAAACGGUAGCUAAUACCGCAUAACGUCGCAAGACCAAAGAGGGGGACCUUCGGGCCUCUUGCCAUCGGCUGUGCCCAGAUGGGAUUAGCUAGUAGGUGGGGUAACGGCUCACCUAGGCGACGAUCCCUAGCUGGUCUGAGAGGAUGACCAGCCACACUGGAACUGAGACACGGUCCAGACUCCUACGGGAGGCAGCAGUGGGGAAUAUUGCACAAUGGGCGCAAGCCUGAUGCAGCCAUGCCGCGUGUAUGAAGAAGGCCUUCGGGUUGUAAAGUACUUUCAGCGGGGAGGAAGAGAGGAAAAUUAAUACCUGUACUCAUUGACGUUACCCGCAGAAGAAGCACCGGCUAACUCCGUG